RNA transcript from Anopheles arabiensis, 2389 nucleotides. RefSeq lists it as uncharacterized. The transcript is spliced from 2 exons. Lineage: Eukaryota; Metazoa; Arthropoda; Insecta; Diptera; Culicidae. The record is from RefSeq and is a predicted model, not a curated record.
GGAUAUGGAUUAAAUUGGUUCUCUUCCCUCUGCACUAGAACUGGCCACCCCCGGGCUGACCCCACACACAUGUGUUUGGAAUUGUAAGAUGACAUCAGACGCGCGAUGGCAAACACAUUCAACUCGGUUCUCACCUCGUUUUGCGGGAAGAUGCGCAAAAGGCCACUUUUUUUGUUAUACACCCCUGGCGUGUGCCAGAUUCGGACGAUCAUCAAAAUUGCCCAUGGCCUCUCUGAAGCGUCAUUUAGCACCGCUGCACCAUUUACGGUAGAAUGCGCACACGAAACACGGUAGAUGCACAUCACAUACACAGAGAGAGAGGGGAGAGAAAUAGAAGAGAAUAGCGUCUGGGGCUUUCGGCCGUCUGACCGUUACGGCUGACCUACAUCUACAACCCCGUGCACGGAACAAACGGACCAUUUCCAUACAGAGCAAUUCUGUUCUUAUCGUUCUGCAACAUCAACUUUCCCGGCAGUGCCUGUAUCGUGCUUUGUUCUGAUGCGACCUGGUUUUGAGUGUGUUUCAAUAUGUUUUAAAGUGAAAGAACCCCUUUUCCAUUACUCCAACAGAUUGAUUUACAUUCUUCAAGGAUUGCAUAAGCGCUCCUCCUCCUCCAGGAGUAACAACAAUACCGUUAACUUCUUCUCCGUCCUCCGGAAUGACUCGACUCGCGGCCAUCAUCGGCUGUUAAAUAAUGCUGGUUGGCCCACCACCACAACAAUCAUCAACAUUCCAACAGAUCCAGAGUCCAGUGGGAAGAGAGUCCCACUGUCCCACAAGAAUCGUAUGCCAGGCUUUUUUGGGCAGGCCGUCAAAAAUCAACAACACAAACACCAAAAAAUGCCCAACUCUCAUCAAUCUAUCACCGGACGGACUGGUCACGAUAUCGUAUGCUUCUGCUUCUCUCUUUCCAUGCAAGUUUAUUUACCUUUUAAUAAGCACACACACACACCUCCACAGAGCUGUCCAAUGUUCUCUCCUUCUUCCAUUGAUUGACCCCAAAAAACCGGUUGACCGGUUGGUGAUGUGUUCGAUCAAUCUUGUGCCCACCCCCCCUUUCGAACGAUAUGGGGAUCGUCUCCUGUUAUGUCCCCGGACGAACUUUGCCUCAACGUGUACACGGGAAUAAACCGUUUAAAUUCCCAUCAACUACAAACAACAUGCAAUGAUCUUCCAAAAACACACACAGCAUCAUCCCACCCGAUGGAAAGGGGCACCUGUCAUGGCCACGGUCACGGAAACGGGCGCGUAUUCAAAUGUUGCUUACUCUUCUUCGCCUUCUCCCCUCCCCAAAAAAGAGACUCAAAAUGAAGCAAACAAAAACAAAAGCCCCCCUCCAUCACCUUGUUGUCGGCCAACGGGGCAAACAAACUUAUAUUGCAGAACAUAGUACAAAAGAACAUCCAUUUCCUCCCGGUGAUAAUGGAUAAAAACGAAAGAGAAGAGAGAACACAUCACACAGCAAAACAAAAAAAACAUCACACGUUACGGGGUGACAGUUUGCCGGUCAAGUUUGCCAAGGGAAAUGACAUUUUGGGACAAAAGUGGGUCAGCGGAGAAUGUGUUUUUUCGUUUGUAUUCACUCGUUCGUUCGUACCUUUCGUUUCGUUCGUUUGCAUUUUGUGUUCAAAUUUGUUCCACCGACCCCUCUGAGUGAGGAGGGGAAGUUUGCAGAUGAGAGAAGGAGAGAAGGUACAUGUUGUCAUAAACACUUUGGCCAGUAAACGUGUGUGCUAUGUCAGCAAUAGUCUCUACAACAUAAUCAAUGGCUACUAAGAUCACUCACUGUGAAACGGCGAAGCAGCUAUCUUCUAACCCCUGGAUGAUUGAUAAUCAAAGAGGAAAUGUUUCAAAUGGUCCCCGCCCAACACGCCACGAAAUCCCGCCGUGUUGCACACCGGGAGGAACAGCAACAGCACCACCACGAACCGCGUGGGUUGCGGCGGAUGAACGUGCACGACCGACAACACGACGCGUCGAUGAAAAUGUGGGACAGCGGCACUGGCAAAUGUGGGACAACCGUGGCAACCCACACACACAACCUCUACCACCACCAUUACCAGCACCUCCUGCACCACUAGUUGUUGCAUGCAAUCCGGGAAGAUAGCUGGUCCCGGUGGUAGCACGUUUUCCCCGCUCCAUUCGCUCCAGGUGAGAAAAGAGCUUUCUCCUUUCUUUGUGGCUGUUUUGCUACACACCAUGCCAGCGUAUAUUUCUGUUUGCCUUCGCAAUAGGGCAACUUCAAGCACAAAUGUACGUAAAACGAAUCUGUAACGAGUCUUACAAAGCAGAACACAAUACGCGUUAGCGGUAAAACGGCCGCACUAAGAAGUUUAAUGAAAAGUAUCAAAAUAAGCAUAAGAAAAGAAAUCAAUAAGAAAAUUGAAAA